CUCGUAGGCGGUUUGGUAAGUCGGUCGUGAAAGUCCGAGGCUCAACCUCGGAAUGCCGGUCGAUACUGCCAUGACUAGGGUUCGGUAGAGGAGAGUGGAAUUCUCGGUGUAGCGGUGAAAUGCGCAGAUAUCGAGAGGAACACCAGUAGCGAAGGCGGCUCUCUGGGCCGAUACCGACGCUGAGGAGCGAAAGCGUGGGGAGCGAACAGGAUUAGAUACCCUGGUAGUCC
This 230-nucleotide ribosomal RNA is filed under the name uncultured bacterium. RNAcentral's name for it is "partial 16S ribosomal RNA". It matches the Rfam family "Bacterial small subunit ribosomal RNA", at positions 568 to 796 of the family's 1533-position model. The record is from RNAcentral.